UAAGAGGAGAUGCCUUAAUAACAUUGAAGAAAAUGGGAUGAUCUAAACAUAGAUUAGGAAGGUGAAUGCCAUAAAUUAACUGAAUGAAGGGGGACGCCUUAAACAAAAUAAUGGAAAAAGAUGCCUUAAUAAGACUCGAUGAAAUCACAUUCCCUAAAUUAACUCAAAGAAGGUCCAUGCAUUAAAGAAACAAAAAAGAUGAGGUUGCCUUAUAUAAAUUGAACGAUGGAGGAUGCCCUAAAACAACUCAAAAAAAGGCAUUGCCAUUAGGAACUUCAUGGAAGGGGAAUGCGCUAAGAAAACUCAAGGAUGGGGUUCCCUUAAACAUAAUCAAAUGAGGGGAUGCCAUAAGUAACUCUAAGAAUUAGGUUGCCCUAAACAAACUCUAGGAAGGGGGAUGCACUAAAAAAAUUCUCAAGGAAGAGGGCACAAACACUAAACAAACUCGAGGAAUAGAUAUUCUAUAAAGAAACUAAGGGAUAGUGGGACGUCUUAAUAAGACUCAAGGAAGGGGGAUGCCUUAAACAAAGAUAUGGAGGGAGAAUGUUGUAAACAAACUCAAAGAAGUGAUGUGCUAACAAGACUCAAUGAAGGGGGAUGCGCUAAUGAAACUCAAAGAAGGGGGAUUCUCUUAACAAAAUUUGGGAAGGGGAUGUCAUUAACAAACUCAAGGAAGGGGGAUGCUCUAAACAAACUCUUGGAAAGGGAAUGAAUUACAAAAUUUCCAUGAAAAAGAAUGACCUAAGAAACUAAAGCAAGGGUGACGCCGUAAUGUAACUCAAGGGAGUGGGAUGGCCUAAGGAAACUCAAGGAACAUGGAUGCAUAAAACAAACUAAAGGAAGGGGGAUGCCCUAUUAAAACUC
Molecule: long non-coding RNA, 864 nt
Filed under: Vitis vinifera (wine grape)
Lineage: Eukaryota; Viridiplantae; Streptophyta; Magnoliopsida; Vitales; Vitaceae
Description: long non-coding RNA (VVIN_LNC002938)
Source: RNAcentral